RNAcentral lists this transfer RNA (81 nucleotides) under Spirochaetaceae bacterium. RNAcentral describes it as "tRNA-Leu". It matches the Rfam family "tRNA". Rfam says of the family: Transfer RNA (tRNA) molecules are approximately 80 nucleotides in length. Their secondary structure includes four short double-helical elements and three loops (D, anti-codon, and T loops). Further hydrogen bonds mediate the characteristic L-shaped molecular structure. tRNAs have two regions of fundamental functional importance: the anti-codon, which is responsible for specific mRNA codon recognition, and the 3' end, to which the tRNAs corresponding amino acid is attached (by aminoacyl-tRNA synthetases). tRNAs cope with the degeneracy of the genetic code in two manners: having more than one tRNA (with a specific anti-codon) for a particular amino acid; and 'wobble' base-pairing, i.e. permitting non-standard base-pairing at the 3rd anti-codon position. RNAcentral also lists the same sequence under 1 other name. The record is from RNAcentral. Lineage: Bacteria; Pseudomonadati; Spirochaetota; Spirochaetia; Spirochaetales; Spirochaetaceae.
GCGAGAGUGGUGAAAUUGGCAGACACGCUAGACUUAGGAUCUAGUGCCCAAGGCGUGAGGGUUCAAAUCCCUUCUCUCGCA